Molecule: long non-coding RNA, 1271 nt
Organism: Topomyia yanbarensis
Lineage: Eukaryota; Metazoa; Arthropoda; Insecta; Diptera; Culicidae
Exons: 3
Source: RefSeq, a predicted model, not a curated record
CAGUCAGUACUUAGGAAGUGCGUGAUUCAUGACGGAAAUGAUUCCGGUGUUGAUCGCGAUAAUGCUUCUGUUCGGUACAGCAAAAUACGUCAAAUACAGACAGGCCAUUGCUUUCACAAACGAUCUACGGAUUAUCUGUCCGAUUAUUGGCAAUGGAUUGAUGUUUAUUGCUGAAAAUGAUGAAGAACAAUUUAAAAAUUUCACUAGUGCUUUAAGCAAUUUAGCAAAGUUGUGGCUCGGAGAAUGUAAUGAUUUGCACAAAUGAUCCUAGUAUGGUUCAAAAAUUUUCAACCAUCUGGAUUGUCUAGAGAAACCGCACAUUUGCAAUUUCUUCAAGGUAGACUACCUACAGCUCAUUGUAACUGGAAUUGCUGAACAGGUGAAAAUGAAUAGUUUAAUAACAAAUGAAUUUUCGUUUUGAAAUCACAUUUGGAAAGUACAACGGAAAUCAUUGAACCCAGCAUUCAAUCAGAAAAUUUGUAGUUAAGAUUUUGGCGAAUCAUUGGACAUUACAUAUACCCGAAGCGAGAGCCAUAUAAUUUUACACUACACAGCUGUAGCACAAUGUAUAAUCGAAAUGGUGGAUUGCAGACUUCACCGAAAAACAACCGUUCACGUUGCUGUUUGAUAAUGCUUGGUUAUUCUGAAAGCUAGUUCAGGAAGCUGUAGAUCGUAGAGCCAAUCAAUCUUCAAACUUCGAAAAGAGCUCAAAGUGAUAAAUUUUAAUCGAUCAGCUGCUGAACGGUAGGAAAUUCGAAGCAGGACAGCCACACAACUGGAACGGAGAUGAGCUAGAGCUCUACUGCAGUUUCAGUACACGGAGAUGUUUCUGAAGGAUUGUUUGCGGUUCCUACCGGUUGGUUCAUGCAUCAUGAGGAAACCAAUGAAAGACGUGGAUCUGGAUGGCGUCAUUGUACCUAAGGGAACAAUUUUGUGUGUUAGUAUAUAACAACGUCCAUCGACGGAAGGAUGUCUGGGGUCCGAAAGCCAAUAAGUUUGAUCUAGAACAUUGUACUUCACAGAACAAAACGUAGGAAGCCAUAUUUGCUUUUCUACCUAUCAGUGAGGUCAAUCGGAAUUGUAUUGGUUCUCGCUACGUCAUAAUCAGCAUGAAGAUUACAUUGGUACACAUACUGAGAAAUUUUAGACUAGAGUGAAAUAGGAGAUUCGAAAACUUGCGGUACCAAUUUGAAUCCCUGUUGAAGCUCACCAAGGAAUCGGAAAUUUUCCUGUAGCAUCGUCCUGGAGGGAUUUCUUCAACUGCUAUUACC